AGGUUAUGCGUGAUGGGCAGUGUAAUGGCUGUGGUUUGCCUUCUCCCUUCUGCCCUGUUGCUCUCUUGUUCGUGGCCCUCUCAGAUCGACACAUCUGCUUGCAUUUAAAACUAAAGAUGAUACGUGGAGAGGAAGGGGGGGAGACUUAUAGUGUUGUGCUAUUUUGCUAUCCUUAGAGGUUUUCGUUUAGGGGGUUGUAGUAUCAGUUCGUAGGUUUUAACGUGGCUUGGAUCUGGUGUGUGUUGUCAAGCCUGUGUUACCCUAAUUACUUUAUUAUUGUGUGUCUCUG
Non-coding RNA from Pelobates cultripes (western spadefoot toad), 289 nucleotides. Lineage: Eukaryota; Metazoa; Chordata; Amphibia; Anura; Pelobatidae. The record is from the annotation of a GenBank genome assembly.